UACGUAGGCAGCGAGCGUUGUUCGGAAUUACUGGGCGUAAAGAGUGUGUAGGCGGUGCUCUAAGUUUGGUGUGAAAUCUCCUGGCUCAACUGGGAGGGUGCGCCGGAAACUGGAGUGCUUGAGCGUGGGAGAGGAAAGCGGAAUUCCUGGUGUAGCGGUGAAAUGCGUAGAUAUCAGGAGGAACACCUGUGGUGUAGACGGCUUUCUGGACCAUAGCUGACGCUGAGACACGAAAGCGUGGGUAGCAAACAGG
RNAcentral lists this ribosomal RNA (253 nucleotides) under uncultured bacterium. Its description in RNAcentral is "partial 16S ribosomal RNA". It matches the Rfam family "Bacterial small subunit ribosomal RNA", at positions 524 to 776 of the family's 1533-position model. The record is from RNAcentral.